GGGGAUUUAGCUCAGCGGUAGAGCGCUUGCCUUAUAAGCUCAAGGCCCUGGGUUCGGUCCCCAGCUCCA
This 69-nucleotide transfer RNA is filed under the name Rattus norvegicus (Norway rat). It matches the Rfam family "tRNA". From Rfam's summary of the family: Transfer RNA (tRNA) molecules are approximately 80 nucleotides in length. Their secondary structure includes four short double-helical elements and three loops (D, anti-codon, and T loops). Lineage: Eukaryota; Metazoa; Chordata; Mammalia; Rodentia; Muridae. The record is from Rfam by way of RNAcentral.